AUGGAUGUCCUGGGGCUGCUUCUCUGCCUGGUGGCUGCUCCCUGCUGUGUCCUGUCCCAGGUGCAGCUGCAGGAGUCAGGUCCUGGCCUGGUGAAACCCUCACAGACCCUGUCUCUCACCUGCUCUGUCUCUGGAUUCUCUUUAACGAGCUAUGAUUUGCACUGGAUCCGCCAGCCUCCAGGAAAGGGGCUGGAGUGGGUCGGUGCAAUAUCGAGUGGUGGAAACACAUAUUAUAAUACAGAUCUUAAAUCCCGAGUCACCAUCACCAGGGACACCUCCAAGAGCCAAUCUUAUUUAACAUUGGGCAGCCUGAUAGUCGAGGACACGGCCGUGUAUUACUGUGUGAGAGACACAGUGAGGGGAAGUCACCAGAAGAGUGACUACCGGGCACUUUAUGAUGGAGUGUCCUCAGGUGGAUACAAGAGCAGUGGGAUGUCUCCAGCCCAUGCACUUCGGCACAAGCAUUACUUAGCCCCUCCCACUCUUCUGUCCUCUGCAUCCAGCAAGCCACGUGUUUAUCUGAUCUGUGUCCCUGUGUCAAGGUUGUGA
Cynocephalus volans (Philippine flying lemur) is the source of this 549-nucleotide non-coding RNA. NCBI's taxonomy places the organism in Eukaryota, Metazoa, Chordata, Mammalia, Dermoptera, Cynocephalidae. The record is from the annotation of a RefSeq genome assembly.